GAUGAACACUAGCGGCAGGCCUAACACAUGCAAGUCGAGGGGUAUAGGCUUUCGGGCCUAGAGACCGGCGCACGGGUGCGUAACGCGUAUGCAAUCUACCUUGUACAGGGGGAUAGCCCAGAGAAAUUUGGAUUAAUACCCCAUGGUAUUUUAGGGUAGCAUCACCUUAUUAUUAAAGUUCCAACGGUACAAGAUGAGCAUGCGUCCCAUUAACUAGUGGGUAUGGUAACGGCAUACCAAGGCAAAGAGGGGUAGGGGUCCUGAGAGGGAGAUCCCCCACACUGGUACUGAGACACGGACCAGACUCCUACGGGAGACAGCAGUGAGGAAUAGUGGUCAAUGGGCGCAAGCCUGAACCAGCCAGGCCGCGUGCAGGAUGACGCAUCUAUGGUGUGUAAACUGCUUUUGUACGGGAAGAAACCACUCUACGUGUAGAGUAUUGACGGUACCGUAAGAAUAAGGAUCGGCUAACUCCGUGCCAGCCGCCGCCGUAA
This 494-nucleotide ribosomal RNA is filed under the name uncultured bacterium. RNAcentral describes it as "partial 16S ribosomal RNA". It matches the Rfam family "Bacterial small subunit ribosomal RNA", at positions 28 to 523 of the family's 1533-position model. The record is from RNAcentral.